GCGGGCGGCGGGCGGCGGGCGGAAGGCAUCACUUUGUCCGGACUCUAAUUCAAAUUGUAUUCAUCCGAUCUUCACCAAACUUGGUCAGCAGUUGCAUCUAGUUGAUAUCUAGGCCAAGUUCGAAUAUGGGUCAUGCCGGGUCAAAAACUAGGUCAUAGGGUCAAUAAGUGCAUUUUCAAAGGGGCCACUUUGUCCGGACUCUAUUUCAAAUUGUAUUCAUCCGAUCUUCACCAAACUUGGUCAGCAGUUGCAUCUAGUUGAUAUAUAGGCCAAGUUCGAAUAUGGGUCAUGCCGGGUCAAAAACUAGGUCAUAGGGUCAAUUAGUGCAUUUUCAACGGCGCCACUUUGUCCGGACUCUAAUUCAAAUUGUAUUCAUCCGAUCUUCACCAAACUUGGUCAGAAGUUGUAUCUAGACAAUAUCUAGGUCAAGUUCGAAUAUGGGUCAUGCUGGGUCAAAAACUAGGUCACAGGGUCACUUAGUGCAUUUCAAGCAUUUAGCAUGGUGUCCACUCUCUAAUUGAAGUAGUUUUCAUCCAAUCUUCACCAAACUUGGUCAGAAGUUGUAUCUAGACAGUAUUUAGGUCAAGUUGGAAUAUGGGUCAUUCCAGGUCAAAAACUAGGUCACAGGGUCACUUAAACCAUUUCAAGCAUUUAGCAAGUGCUCUCUAAUUGAAGUAGUUUUCAUCCGAUCUUCACCAACUUUGGUCAGAAGUUGUGUCUAGACAAUAUCUACAUGUAGGUCAAGUUCAAAUAUGGGUCUUGCCAGGUUAAAAACUAGGUCAGCCCGUAUAAAUACGGGACGUAUUAUGUGAAACCCCUUGGCGGCGGGCGGGCGGCGGGCGGCGGGCGGAAGGCAUCACUUUGUCCGGACUCUAAUUCAAAUUGUAUUCAUCCGAUCUUCACCAAACUUGGUCAGCAGUUGCAUCUAGUUGAUAUCUAGGCCAAGUUCGAAUAUGGGUCAUGCCGGGUCAAAAACUAGGUCAUAGGGUCAAUAAGUGCAUUUUCAAAGGGGCCACUUUGUCCGGACUCUAUUUCAAAUUGUAUUCAUCCGAUCUUCACCAAACUUGGUCAGCAGUUGCAUCUAGUUGAUAUAUAGGCCAAGUUCGAAUAUGGGUCAUGCCGGGUCAAAAACUAGGUCAUAGGGUCAAUUAGUGCAUUUUCAACGGCGCCACUUUGUCCGGACUCUAAUUCAAAUUGUUAUCAUCCGAUCUUCACCAAACUUGGUCAGAAGUUGUAUCUAGACAAUAUCUAGGUCAAGUUCGAAUAUGGGUCAUGCUGGGUCAAAAACUAGGUCACAGGGUCACUUAGUGCAUUUCAAGCAUUUAGCAUGGUGUCCACUCUCUAAUUGAAGUAGUUUUCAUCCAAUCUUCACCAAACUUGGUCAGAAGUUGUAUCUAGACAGUAUUUAGGUCAAGUUGGAAUAUGGGUCAUUCCAGGUCAAAAACUAGGUCACAGGGUCACUUAAACCAUUUCAAGCAUUUAGCAAGUGCUCUCUAAUUGAAGUAGUUUUCAUCCGAUCUUCACCAACUUUGGUCAGAAGUUGUGUCUAGACAAUAUCUACAUGUAGGUCAAGUUCAAAUAUGGGUCUUGCCAGGUUAAAAACUAGGUCACGAGGUCCCGUAGUGCAUUUCAAGCAUUUAGCAUGGUGUCUGCUCUCUAAUUGAAGUAGUUUUCAUCAGAUCUUCACCAACUUUGGUCAGAAGUUGUGUCUAGAUGAUAUGUAGGUCAAGUUCAAAUAUGGGUCAUGGUAAAGUUAUCAAGUUGUCCAAAGUCUUAAAACGGGCGUAUCUUGUGACAGUUUGGCACUCUUGUUCAUAUUAGCUUAGAGCUUUAUCUCCAUUAACACAUGAGCCAGAGCCAUGAACCUUGCCAUAGUUGUUCUCAAUCAUCUGGAGGUGCUUCACAUUCAACACCCAUAAUCCUAGGGACAAAUGUCAAGGUCACACAUUUAGGUCAAAAGUAGUUGUCAAUCUGUCCAAAAAACUUUUGUGUCCAGAAGCAUAUUGGCAGGGGAUAUCAAUUUAACGAAUUUGCUUGUUAAUUCCUGGCUCUCUGACAAAUAUUUGUUUCAGGGGCCUUGUUUAGACAAAACAAAAAAAAAGUUUAAGCAGGAUGGGUAAAUAUGUGUGCAUCUCUACUCAUUAUUUACUUGAAAUGUUUGAAACAAUUCUUUUUGUGCUUUUUCAGUUUUCUGUCUGUUUAUAUUAUUGUUAACCCUGUCUCAAAAUGUGACCAAGUUAUUUGUGAAUUUGUUUUAACAAACAUGUAUAUAAAUUUUAUUAUUAAUUUUUUUUUUGGCAGUGUUGUAAUAUUAUUUGUGUGUAUUUUGUGGCUUAAAACAGAUUAUAACAAUGGAGUAUUCCUAGAUUGUAAAUGCAAAUAAAUUCCUCAUGUUCAUUUGAAGAAUCUUCCACAGCUGUUCAGAAAGUUUGUUCUGGGGCUCUGAUAAACUUGUUUAAAAUAAAUGAAUUUAGAGCUAAUCAAUUAUUCAUGUACCUUUCUUGUACAGAAUACUAUGCCUUUAAUUAGAACACAGUCUUAUAAAACAGUAUUAAACCUUUGAGCGCUGGAACCGGAUUUUGAAGGCCUUUGCAAACAGUUUGGAUCCAGAUGAGAAGCCACAGAACGUGGCGUCUCAUCAGGAUCCAAACUGUUUGCUAUUCUGAUAGUAUUCUUUGAAAAAAAAUCGAAGAAAAUGCUUAUUUUAGAAAUUCAGCAGACGACAUUUUUGCAGACGACAAAUUUCCCAGCAUGCAAAGGGUUAACUACUCUCCACAAGUAGUUUGUCUGGUACAGAGCACUUGGACUUUUUUCCUUGUAUGUUCUUGCUUGCCCGUUUGCAAAAACCUUGAUAAAGCUGUCAUAAUAUUAAAGUAUAAGCCUUACUUUGUCUUUGAUCAUGGAAUGUUAAAAUUACUUACCAUAACUGAAAAUUGUGAGGAGACAGUGUUUUAUGUGUAACCUGUAUUAGCCUGCCUAUAAGAGAAGGUCACACUUCAGAGUUCAAAUGUCAACUCAGGUAAUAAACGCUUGUCUGGGUUGUAAAUUUAUCAUUCAUCCGGAAAUUUGAAAAUUACUUAUCUUAGAAGACAACGUGUCAAAUGUAAAAUCCAUCUUCAAGUUCAAAGUCAGGGUGAAAAGGUCAAAUGUUAAAUUUUUCCCAUAAAACAGUUUGAGGGGACCGUUACAUAAUCAUUCAUCAUUCAAUUUUAAAAUAAAUUAUCACAAAUGUGCACUAUGUUGAGAAAGCUUGUCCUUUAAAACAACCUUUGCCUUACCUCAAAGUUCAAGGUCACACAUUAAGGUCAAAGGUUAGAUUUUGCCUUAAAGUAUAGUAAGACAUGUGGCUGUGAAAGAACUUUCUAAACAGCCUUCAAAUGUGUUUUGGUAUUAAAAUUACAAACUUUAUUGAUAACUCUUAUAUGUAUUUUGGUUUUAAAAUAAUGAACUUUCUUGACAGCUCUUAUGUAUUUUGGUAUUAAAAUAGCAAAUUUUUGUCUGUAUUUAGUUUUAAAGUAGCAAACUAUCUGGCAGCCCUCCUAUGUAUUUUGCUAUUGAAGCAUUUAAUUUUCUGGACAUCCUUUACAUGUUUUAGUAUUAAAAUCACAAACAUUUCUGGUCAUAUGUAAUUUGGUAUUAAGAUUUUCUUUACUCUCUGAACAACCCUCAUUCGUACUUUAGUAUUGAAAUGGCAAACUUUGGACAAUCUCCCAUAUGUUUUUUUAAUUAAGUCAAAAGUCACUUUAAAACAGUCACUUAGGUUGUAUUGUUUGUUUGUGAUAUUAUUGAACAAAUGAAUGCAAUGUCGAGAUCACCUGUAUAUAUUUGGCCUAUCCUAGUAGAAUGUGAACACCCUAUAGGAAACAUCUCUUGCCAAAUCAUCAAGAAACUUGCUUGUUAAUGGUUCUAAUGAUAUUUUGUCAGAAUUCUAAAAUGGUUCUAUAAACAAACUAUAAACAACCAAUCAAAACAAUUCUUUCCUGGAGGUCACAGGUGAGUGGCCUUGUUUUCUUUUCGAAGAACAAAUGCUGCAUGUUAGUAAUUGUUUAAGGUGUUAGUUUUAGCUUUUUUAUCAUAUUUUUGUUAAUUUGUACAUUUUUUGUAGUUUUUUUUGUUUGAUGUUAUGCCAUGAGAUUGAGAUUCAAAAUAUAAUAUACAGUAUGAAGAAAUGGGAUUGUGUGUCAGUUUUCAUAACAUACAUUGGAACAUUAUAUGCAUGAAGAGUCUUCCACAAUUUUGUGUAUGAUAUGCUGUUUAUAUCAACGACUCAAUGUGAUAUUUAUGGUAGUUUUUUAACUAAAAAUCUUUUUUUCUUUUCUUUUUUUUCCAAAUAAAUAUCAAGUGGCUUUAAAUAGCAGAAUUGUUUCCUUCUACGUGAUUUAUGGGUAAAUGUGUCAGGUGCACAUCUAGAAAUAUCACUGAAAAAUAUGAAAUUUGUAAUUAAAAUAUUGACAAGAAAAGCAGAAAUGUAACUAUCAAGUGGUUACAAAAGCUCCAAAAUCACUUCAUAACAUAUUGACCCAUCAAUUUCUACUGCCAAAAUUCUUCCAAAAUUAUAUAUAUUGCAUACAUGCCAUACGUCCCGAUCUCGGCGGGACAGUCCCGCUUUUGGGCCCUUUGUCCCGCCGUCCCGCCAUGAGACGAUUUGUCCCGACAUUCGUAAAAAACGAUGUAAGGUGUAUAGGUUCCCAAUAAAAUUCGCUAUUCAAGCUCUGUUUCGCUAACACUUAACACCGCUAAUCCCUUUAUUGCCCUCCAAUUAACAAUCCGAUUCUACUUAUCGUGUGUACCAGUGUUGUUUAUGACACCUUAUCAGCGAUUUAUCGGCUAAUUAUUGAUUUCAUCAGGCAUUCACACCAUGGUGGUCUUCAAGAUAGUGGUCGCUUAUUGCUAUCGAUAGUUUUAUUAUAAUGAAAUAAAUGUUGAAAAUGUGUUUAUUUUGUAUUUGUUUGAAGCGGUUUACAAAACAAUUGUUUUGUAAAAUUAACGCUACGUCAUAAUAGAGUCUUUUACAUUCAAUGUUUAGUUCCAAUAUAGCGGGAUAUUCCGAAUGUGCAAUAUACCAAAAUCGCAACAAACAGUCCAAUAAGUGAUACCCAUCCUGUCUAGUGUAAUUGUAAUAAAAACAACGAGGUGCUAUGCAUGACAGUUUGACCCUACUCCAAUUAAGCCGCGGAAAUUGACAAGUAACAAACUGCGCAUGGACACAUGCUUAAAAAAACAUCGCAACAAACAGUAAAAGAGUUACCCAUCUUGUCUUGUGUUAUUGUAAUAAAAACAACGUGUUGUUAUUCAUGACAGUUUGACACUACCCCAAUACAGCGCCUGACAAUUCACAAUUCAGUUUAAUCUGUGUAUAUAGGAAGAAAACAAAAUACGGAAAAGUGUACGGCCGCGCAUUCCGUGUGUAACUGAUGUAACUGUUCGGUAGAUAGUGUACUGUAACCCGUACUUUCAGUCAACUGGAUAGCCUCCCCUGCGUUAAUGUUUGCCAUUGAAAUUAAUAUAAUGAGUAUUGUUGUCGUAAUGUUCUAGAUUUUGUACUCUUAAACAGAUGAAUAUUAUCUUCGUUGUUUGCUAUUGUCUAAUUUAAUAAAACUGUUAUUGUUAUGUUUAAGAUUUCAUGCUUCAUAUCAGAUGUUUUAUGUCUUGAAAUAAAGUAUCAAGAGUUUUUGUUAGUACUAUACUGACUAUAGUAAACGUGGAAUGAUAGAUCGUUUUAGGUGUCCUGCUUUUUGGUCAAAUGUCCCGACAAUUUUUUAUGGAAUGUCCCGCUUUGGACCUAAAAAAUUAUGGCAUGUAUGAUAUUGUGUAAUGAGAUUUUGCUUUUAUCUUAUAUCUAGCUGUGUACUCAUGAUUAGCUUAUAUAAACAAUGAAGUUAGUUUGUUUAUUUAGAUUUGUCUUCAAAUUUAAUAUUAUUUCAGUCAUACCACAGCAGUCAGUUGAACAAAGUGAACUUCUCUUGCUUUGAUUGUUCUAAAUGCACUUACAUGCAAGUUACCUAAAAUUAGUUUUUAUAUAAACAUUUUGUCUGGUAUGUAAUUUUUCAACAGCUUACAUUGUUUCAAUCAAAGGUGUUUGGUGCGUGGCCAAGUCACUUUUAUCACUAUCAAUAUGUCCUAAAACAACAUUUUUCAUAGCUCAUGGUAAGCUUUUGUGAUCGCCUUUUGUCCGCCGUGCACCAUGCGUCGUCAACAUUUGCCUUGUUAACACUCUAGAGGCCACAUUUAUUGUCCGAUCUUCACAAAAUUUGGUCAGAAGAUUCGUCUCAAUGAUAUCUUGGACAAGUUCCAAAAUGGAUAUGGUUGCUUAAAAAACAUGGCUGCCAGGGGGCGGAGCAAUUUUCCUAAUAUUGCUCUAUUUGGCUAUAGUAAAACCUUGUUAACACUCUAGAGGCCACAUUUAAACAUGACCGCUAGGAGGCGGGGCAUUUUUCCUUAUUUGGCUAUUGUAAAAUGUUGUUAACAGUCUAGAGGCCACAUUUAUUUUCUGAUUAUCAUGAAACUUGGUCAGAAUAUUAAUCCCAAUGAUAUCUUGGAUGAGUUACAAAAUGUUUCUGGUUGGUUGAAAAACAUGGCCACCAGGGGGCGGGGAAUUUUUUCUUAUAUGGCUAUAGUAAAACCUUGUUAACUCUCUUGAGGCCACAUUUAAUUUUCGAUCAUCAUGAAACUUGGUCUGAAGAUUUGUCCCAAUGAUAUAUUGAACAGGUUUGAAAAUGGUUCCAGUUGGUUGAAAAACAUAGCCACCAGGGGGGCGGGGCAUUUUUCCUUAUAUGGCUAUAGUAAAAGCUUGUUAACACUCUAGAGGCCACAUUCAUUGUCCGAUCCUCAUGAAACUUGGUCAGAAGAUUAAUCCCAAUACCGGUAAUAUCUUUGACGGAUUUGAAAAUGGUUCCUGUUGGUUGAAAAAUAUGACUGGCAGGGGAUGAUGCUUGUCCUUAUAUGGAUAUAGUAAAACCUUGUUAACACCCUAGAGGCCAUAUUUAAGGUCUGAUCUUCAUGAAACUUGGUCAGAACAUACAUCUCAAUUAAAUCUUAGAUUAGUUUGAAAAUGGUUCUUGUUUGUUGAAAAACAUGGCAACCAGGGGGUGGGGCAGUUUUCCUUAAAUGGCUAUAUAUGGCUAUUGUAAAACCUUACACUCUAGAGGUCACAUUUAUUGUCCCAUUUUCAUGAAGCUUAGUCAGAAGAUUUAAGAUUUGUCCCAAUGAUAUCUUGGAAUAGUUUGAAAAAUGGUUUUGGUUAGUUUAAAAACAUUUUUCCUUAUAUUGCGAUAGUAAAAAGUUGUUAACAUCUUAAAAGUCAUACUUGUUGUUCAAUCUUCAUGAAACUUGGUCAAAACAUGUGUCCAGUCCUAAUGAUAUCUUGGAUGAGUUUGCAAAUGGUUCUUAUAGUUUGAAAACAUAGCCAUCAUGGGUCGGGAGAAUUUUUCCUUAAAUGGCUAUUGUAAAAACUUGUUAACACUCUAAAAGUCGCAUUUAUUGUCCAAUAUUGUUUACACUUGGCCAUAACAUUUGUUUUAAAUGAUAUCUUGGAUCAGUUUGAAAACAGUUAUGUCUGUUGAAAAACAUUGCCCCAGAGGUUGGGGAAUUAAGCCUAAUAUGGCUAUAAUAGAACCUUGUUAGCACUCUACAAUUGAUAUUUAUAGUUCACUCUUCAUGAAACUUGGUCAGAAAAUUUGUUCUAAUGAUAUCUUGGGGCUGCACUUAGCAGGUCAGUUCCUUUGUAUCUCAGGUCAGCGACUUUGGGCCUUUCAGGCCCUCUUGUUAAAUAAAUAAUUGUUAAUGUGUUAACUAGUUUGUUUAUUAAAAUAUGAAUUCAAUUGCAAGAAACGACUGACAUUCUAUAGUAAACAAACUUUUUUUUAAGGUUGUAUAUUUAUUGUUCAUAAAUGACCAUUUUCUGUUAUUUUAACUUGAUGAUAUGAAGUUUUUCCAUGUGAAACCAAAAUACACCCAUAAUGUAUUUGUUUCUGACACUAGGUUUAUCUUUGUGUGUAUUGUUUUUAAUUUGCUUAAAAAAACAAUUCUUACAUUUUAAAAUUGUUAUGGAUACAAUGUAUAAUUGUGUCACCAGUAAUUCUUAUUACUUGAAAACAGUUUGCAUUUACUUGCACAUCGCACACAAGUGUGCAUUCACAGAGGAGCUAUUGAAUGUUCAUUUAAAUAUGCCAUAUUACAUCACAUUUCUGCAGUUUUAAACUUUGAUCUUUGUUUACACUGCAUUCAUGUUUAGAGGUUUAUUUUCAUAAAAAGAAAGUGUUCAAAAAUAAA
Dreissena polymorpha is the source of this 8271-nucleotide long non-coding RNA. RefSeq lists it as uncharacterized. Lineage: Eukaryota; Metazoa; Mollusca; Bivalvia; Myida; Dreissenidae. The record is from RefSeq and is a predicted model, not a curated record. The transcript has 2 exons.